CUAUACCUGCAAGUCGAGCGGACAGAAGGGAGCUUGCUCCGGAUGUAGCGGCGGACGGGUGAGUAACACGUGGGUAACUGCUGUAAGACUGGGAUAACUCCGGGAAACCGGAGCUAAUACCGGAUAGUUCCCUGAACCGCAUGGUUCAAGGAUGAAAGACGGUUUCGGCUGUCACUUACAGAUGGACCGCGGCGCAUAGCUAGUUGGUGGGGUAAUGGCUCACCAAGGCGACGAUGCGUAGCCGACCUGAGAGGGUGAUCGGCCACACUGGGACUGAGACACGGCCCAGACUCCUACGGGAGGCAGCAGUAGGGAAUCUUCCGCAAUGGACGAAAGUCUGACGGAGCAACGCCGCGUGAGUGAUGAAGGUUUUCGGAUCGUAAAGCUCUGUUGUUAGGGAAGAACAAGUGCGAGAGUAACUGCUCGCACCUUGACGGUACCUAACCAGAAAGCCACGGCUAACUACGUGCCAGCAGCCGCGGUAAUACGUAGGUGGCAAGCGUUGUCCGGAAUUAUUGGGCGUAAAGGGCUCGCAGGCGGUUUCUUAAGUCUGAUGUGAAAGCCCCCGGCUCAACCGGGGAGGGUCAUUGGAAACUGGGAAACUUGAGUGCAGAAGAGGAGAGUGGAAUUCCACGUGUAGCGGUGAAAUGCGUAGAGAUGUGGAGGAACACCAGUGGCGAAGGCGACUCUCUGGUCUGUAACUGACGCUGAGGAGCGAAAGCGUGGGGAGCGAACAGGAUUAGAUACCCUGGUAGUCCACGCCGUAAACGAUGAGUGCUAAGUGUUAGGGGGUUUCCGCCCCUUAGUGCUGCAGCUAACGCAUUAAGCACUCCGCCUGGGGAGUACGGUCGCAAGACUGAAACUCAAAGGAAUUGACGGGGGCCCGCACAAGCGGUGGAGCAUGUGGUUUAAUUCGAAGCAACGCGAAGAACCUUACCAGGUCUUGACAUCCUCUGACAACCCUAGAGAUAGGGCUUUCCCUUCGGGGACAGAGUGACAGGUG
This 1003-nucleotide ribosomal RNA is filed under the name Bacillus pumilus. RNAcentral's name for it is "bacterial SSU rRNA". It matches the Rfam family "Bacterial small subunit ribosomal RNA", at positions 49 to 1040 of the family's 1533-position model. Lineage: Bacteria; Bacillati; Bacillota; Bacilli; Caryophanales; Bacillaceae. The record is from RNAcentral.